GCCCCUCUGCGGCCCGGCGUGGGAAGCCCGUGGCCGGCGGAGCCUGCUCGGAGCUGGGCGGGGAGCGCCGCGGCAGUCCGGCCGCAGGCAGCCAUCCCCUGCGGUGGCCGGCAUCCCCUCGGGACUCCUGGAGGCCUGGCGGCUCCCGAUCCUCGUCUGCGGCAGCCGCCUGAGAGAGCAGCGCGGCCGUAGCCGGGGGCCGGAGAGCGCUGGUGGGUGCAGAUGGAUGAGUCGUGCAGGGCAACGGAGGAGAGCCCAGGGGAGCGCUGGAAGAAGGUAACAGCCCUGCGAUGCUGCGGUGCCUGCGAGGUGAUGCCGCCGUGCUCGUUGCUGCUUCCUGGUAAGGAAAGGCCUCCUCCGCUCCUGCUGCAGCGUGGUGGUGUGUCGGACACGAUUCCCUGUGUCAGGUGAGGCCUAGGGCUGCUGGUGAGGUGGAGGAUGGCCUAGAGUCUGGAGCUGCAGAAGAGGCAGGGCGGAGAGGAGGGGAAAGAAGCAUCUGAACGGCUAAAUUGUGCCAGCAGCGCUGAGAGCGAGAGUCGCGGUGAGUCCUGGGCCACUGGGGCCCCGUUGCCUCUCUUGUACAUCCUGGGCCCUCCCUGUCUCUCCCCCCUGGCCCC
Non-coding RNA from Phalacrocorax carbo (great cormorant), 617 nucleotides. Lineage: Eukaryota; Metazoa; Chordata; Aves; Suliformes; Phalacrocoracidae. The record is from RefSeq and is a predicted model, not a curated record.